UCUGAAGACAAUGAUAACUGAGCCUGGACUCAUACUUAUCUUCCCAUCAGCUUGAACAGUGCUUAGAAAUACAAGGAGAACUUGUUGAGAGAAGCAACUGAAAACAAUGACGUCAAGCUCUUCUAAUCCUGGGAGUGGCUGUGUAAGUGUGGCCAAUUCCUGCCCACAGUUCGACUUCACAUUUGGAUUCCCCCCAAAAGAAAUGUGAACGUAUAGCAGUCUUGGCAAGUUCUACUUGGCAUUGAACAGUGUCUCUCCAAGGGAUCAUCACUGGUGGAGUGCUAGCUGUGUGUACUCUUGGGAGAGCAUUGUUCCUGAAAGGAGUCUAGCUCUAGCACACCAUGACCUUGAAGAUGCUUGGGUGCAGCCUGCCUUCCAAUCUGCUUGAAUUCCAAAUGUAUUCUUGCUGUAUUUUGCUUAGCAAUUUAUUGCCUUCUCAUCUCCUGAGUAACAACAGAGAAGUCUAUAAAUAAACCCAAUAAUGAGGAGUGACUC
This is a long non-coding RNA of Peromyscus maniculatus bairdii (prairie deer mouse), 495 nucleotides long. RefSeq lists it as uncharacterized. The record is from RefSeq and is a predicted model, not a curated record. NCBI's taxonomy places the organism in Eukaryota, Metazoa, Chordata, Mammalia, Rodentia, Cricetidae.